Gorilla gorilla gorilla (western lowland gorilla) is the source of this 68-nucleotide microRNA precursor. NCBI's taxonomy places the organism in Eukaryota, Metazoa, Chordata, Mammalia, Primates, Hominidae. The record is from Ensembl.
GAAUGGAAGAAGAAGGCGGUCUGUCUGAGGGAGCCAGGCCGCAGAGCCAUCCGCCUUCUGUCCAUGUC